Molecule: non-coding RNA, 269 nt
Filed under: Trichomonas vaginalis G3
Lineage: Eukaryota; Parabasalia; Trichomonadida; Trichomonadidae
Description: Archaeal large subunit ribosomal RNA
Rfam family: Archaeal large subunit ribosomal RNA
Source: Rfam by way of RNAcentral
UAUGGCCUCUGGUUAGCGAUUAUCGGAAACGGUAUGUCGCGCAGCUACGCCGUCUGGGAUAAUGGCUGAAAGCUCUAAGCCAGAAGCCCAUCUAGAAAGUGAUGCACGUGAUGUUGGACCGAUACGAAUAAUCAUACUCAAAAGGUCCGCUUCAUAGGUAACCCAAUGUAGAAGACAUUGUGUGAACGAAGGUACUGUAAGCAGUGGAGUGGCAUUACGUCCACGACCUGUUGAGGUCAGCUUCGCUUCUAGGUUUCCAAAUAUUUUGG